UCAGGACGAACGCUGGCGGCGUGCCUAACACAUGCAAGUCGAGCGAGGAGAUUCCUUCGGGAUGAUCCUAGCGGCGGACGGGUGAGUAACACGUGGGCAACCUGCCUCAUAGAGAGGAAUAGCCUUCCGAAAGGGAGAUUAAUACCUCAUAGCAUUGCAGUUUCGCAUGGAACAGCAAUUAAAGGAGUAAUCCGCUAUGAGAUGGGCCCGCGGCGCAUUAGCUAGUUGGUGAGGUAACGGCUCACCAAGGCGACGAUGCGUAGCCGACCUGAGAGGGUGAUCGGCCACAUUGGGACUGAGACACGGCCCAGACUCCUACGGGAGGCAGCAGUGGGGAAUAUUGCACAAUGGGGGAAACCCUGAUGCAGCCAACGCCGCGUGAGUGAUGACGGCCUUCGGGUUGUAAAGCUCUGUCUUCAGGGACGAUAAUGACGGUACCUGAGGAGGAAGCCACGGCUAACUACGUGCCAGCAGCUGC
This 478-nucleotide ribosomal RNA is filed under the name uncultured bacterium. RNAcentral's name for it is "bacterial SSU rRNA". It matches the Rfam family "Bacterial small subunit ribosomal RNA", at positions 24 to 518 of the family's 1533-position model. The record is from RNAcentral.